UGCCCAGCAACUCCUAUCCCUACCUCCACGCGGUACCGGCCGGAAACUAUGAGCAACCUUAGGGAAGAUCGGGUAACCAACCCCGGUGGUCGUAGGCUGACAGGGAAGG
Aedes albopictus (Asian tiger mosquito) is the source of this 109-nucleotide non-coding RNA. The record is from Rfam. Lineage: Eukaryota; Metazoa; Arthropoda; Insecta; Diptera; Culicidae.